RNAcentral lists this long non-coding RNA (2792 nucleotides) under Homo sapiens (human). RNAcentral's name for it is "HSALNT0074956". Lineage: Eukaryota; Metazoa; Chordata; Mammalia; Primates; Hominidae. The record is from RNAcentral.
CUUUGCCUGGGCAUGCCCACAGCAGACCGGGGGCCCACCUGCGUACCGGGAGAGUGGGGUGGAGCCACCGGGAAUUCACGCCUGAUGCCCGGGGAGGAGUCUGGCCUCUUCAGCUCCUGUGUGGUGGCCUGAUAUUCAGUCUGUGAGCUGGGAGCCUGUUGGCAGGUCCCUCUUUUUAUUUUCGCUGAGAGCUUUCUUUUACUAAAUGCCACCAUCCUUACCUUUCAAGGUGUCUGCGUGCCUAAUUUUUCCUGGUUGUUAGACAAGAACCCGGAUUUUAGUUGAACUCUGGAGCAAAAAUCCUGCAUCAUUUGUAGGUGGGUGUCAUUGUGACUGGCUGCUACCUCCCCAUGAGUCUUCUAAAAUAAAACCUGCAAAUUCACAUCUUCCCCAUGCUUCCAGAGAAUGCAUAUUCUUCCUUUGAAAAAAGAAAACCAGCUGUCACAGAGGUCAUAGAAUUGGGCUUAUUGAGAAGGAAAGGUAAAUGCUAGUACACUACUUGGCUCAGAAGUGAACAAAAUUGCAGUUUGCUCAAACAACUCCAUAGGAAAAAGUCUAAUAAUCUGAUGUAAAAAUGGGCAGAAGAUUUGAAUAGAUAUUUCUCAAAAGAAGACAUACGAAUGGCAAACAGACAUAUGAAAAUGUACUCAAAAUCAUUGAUCAUCAGAGAAAUGUAAAUCAAAACUGCAAUGAGAUAUCAUCCGACUCCAGUUAAAAUGGCUUUUAUCCAAAAGUCAGGCAAUAAAAAAUGCUGGUAAGGAUGUAGAGAAAAGGGAACCCUUGUACACUGUUAGUGGGAAUGUAAAUUAAUACAAUCACUAUGGAGAACAGUUUGGAGGAUCCUCAAAAAACUAAAAAUAGAGCUACCAUAUGAUUCAGCAAUCUCACUGCUAGGUAUAUACCCAAAAGUAUAUUGAAGAGACAUCUGCACUCCCAUGUUUGUUGCAGCACUGUUCAUAAUAGCCAAGAUUUGGAAGCCACCUAAGUGUCCAUCAACAGAUGAAUGGAGAAACUGUGGUACAUAUACACAACGGAGUGCUAUUCAGCCAUAAAAAAGAAUGAUACUCUGUCAUCUGCAACAACAUGAAUGGAACUGGAGAUCAUUAUGUUGUUAAAUAAGCCAGACACAGAAAGACAAACAUCACAUAUUUUCACUUAUUUUGGGGAUAUAAAAGUCAAAACAAACUCAUGGAGAUAGAGAACAGAUAGACGGUUACCAGAGGCUAGGAGGAGGAGUGGUGGGGGGCAGUUAGUGAUGGUUAAUUGGUACAAAAAAAUGGUUAGAAAUAAUAAAUAAGACCUAGUAUUAGAUAGGACAACAGGAGGACUAUAGUCAAAAAUAAUUUAUUUGUACAUUUCAAAGUAACUAAAAGAGUGUAAUUGUAUUAUUUGUAGCACAUAGGAUAAAUGCUUGAGGUGACGGAUACCCCAUUUACCCUGAUGUGAUUAUUACACAUCGUAUGCCUGUACCAAAAGAUCUCAUGUACCUCAUAAAUACAUACACCUACUAUAUACCCACACAAAUUAAAAAUUAAAAAAAUUUAAAGAAAUUACAGUUUGUUGGUUUUGAAUAUUUGACCAAAUUUUUUACUAAGCACAGAUAGAUUGAAUAUAAUUUUAUUGUCCUUUUGACAUUAUGAUAAUGAAGGUAUCUACACAGAAGUCUGAGAUGAGAAAAAAAUGAUAUAAUAUCCACCUACUACAUAGUGGGUAGUUUAUAUACUAAAGUUAUUGUUAUGAGAAAGAAUGGCUUAGGAAUAUUAUUUAAAAUUAAUUAAGGGGUGUUAAAAAUAAAAUACCAAGUGUAAAAAUGACAAAGGCAAGAAGAAACAGUAUAUAAUGUGAGUAAAUCUUAAUCUUUCCAAGAGAGGAGACAGUACAUAAUGUCUAAAAUUGUUAAACCAUGAAAUAGAAAUAUAGUUAUUUUAUUCAUAAUUAAGGAGAUAACUACUAUAGCACGAAAUCGUGCCAAAAAUGGUUGCCUCUGGGAAAUGUGAUUAUAGAUAUUAUAAUAUUUUGGACUGUAAAAAUCUGCUUUUAAGACUGAGGAAAUACAAAUAGGACAAUAUUUAUUUGAAAUUUGUAUCCUCAGGGAGUGUAAAGAAAUUAAUGUAUCCACAAAAUAAUAAUAGCUGCUAUUUGAAAACAUAGUUUUCUUGAAAGUUAAAAUAGUAAUAGUCUUCUAAAAAUUUUGUUAGUUUUGGUUUUCUCUUUAAUCUGAGUUAUGUAGAAAAGUGCUUAUUUCAAAUUAGGUAGGCUUGUUUUAUUCCUUUUUCUGUCUUUUUUCUAUCAACUAGUGUUUUAUUGUGUUCAGAAAAUGCCAUGCAUUAAAAGACUACUUUUGAGAAUUUCUAGAGAUUUUCUUUGUUACUAAAGAGAUUUUUGUAAUUGUUACAUGGGAUUUUAAAAAGAAUGUAAAUUAUCCUUUUUGUCAAGUAUAAUGAUUUCUGAAACCUAGCUGUGUCAGAAUACUGUAUAAUACUGUAAUAGUAUGUUGUUUUUGGCUAUGUGUACUUAUUUCUUAGAGUGGUAUGUUAAAGCCUCGACCUUGUGACUUUGUUUAUUUCUCUCUCUACAUCUAAACAUUUCCAAGACAUGUUAUUUGCAAUACCAAGACCAUAACUAUUAUGUAUUUAAUCAAAAUAAAAUAUUUCGGCUCUCUAUAAUUCACCUUGAACUUUAUUUUGUUAAAUAUAAAUGUUGUUGAUUAUACAACAUUUCAUUAUCAAUCCCUAGACACAUUUCUAAUCCACUAUAAUUGUUUUAAAAUAAAAGGAGAAGGGAAGGUUGUA